Molecule: long non-coding RNA, 207 nt
Filed under: Physcomitrium patens
Lineage: Eukaryota; Viridiplantae; Streptophyta; Bryopsida; Funariales; Funariaceae
Description: long non-coding RNA (PPAT_LNC007847)
Source: RNAcentral
CAUGGAAUAAAUCUGGUGCCACCAUUACAUUAAAAAGAUUUCCAUUAAUUAGAAGAACCACCAUGCCACUUGAAUUUGUCAAAUUUGGAGGAAAGUUCAAAAUUAUCUAAUUUCACUAAAUCUUUUAGAAAAUUAUAAUUUCAACUGUGAUUAUAGGUGUACUUAUAAGCUUUUAAUCAACCCUCAUAAUAAUGAUUAAAAACCUCU